ACGAACGCUGGCGGCAGGCUUAACACAUGCAAGUCGAGCGCCUCGCAAGAGGAGCGGCAGACGGGUGAGUAACACGUGGGAAUCUACCCAUCCUUACGGAACAACUCCGGGAAACUGGAGCUAAUACCGUAUACGCCCUUCGGGGGAAAGAUUUAUCGAGGAUGGAUGAGCCCGCGUUGGAUUAGCUAGUUGGUGGGGUAAAGGCCUACCAAGGCGACGAUCCAUAGCUG
RNAcentral lists this ribosomal RNA (230 nucleotides) under Rhizobium sp. ISO405_OTU34. Its description in RNAcentral is "partial 16S ribosomal RNA". It matches the Rfam family "Bacterial small subunit ribosomal RNA", at positions 29 to 289 of the family's 1533-position model. The record is from RNAcentral. RNAcentral also lists the same sequence under 5 other names. Lineage: Bacteria; Pseudomonadati; Pseudomonadota; Alphaproteobacteria; Hyphomicrobiales; Rhizobiaceae.